ACGCGAUUAGAUGAGCCGAUGUCGGAUUAGCUUGUUGGUGGGGUAAAAGCCCACCAAGGCGACGAUCCGUAGCUGGUCUGAGAGGAUGAUCAGCCACACUGGAACUGAGACACGGUCCAG
This 120-nucleotide ribosomal RNA is filed under the name uncultured bacterium. Its description in RNAcentral is "partial 16S ribosomal RNA". It matches the Rfam family "Bacterial small subunit ribosomal RNA", at positions 215 to 334 of the family's 1533-position model. The record is from RNAcentral.